This 346-nucleotide long non-coding RNA is filed under the name Manihot esculenta (cassava). Its description in RNAcentral is "long non-coding RNA (MESC_LNC004289)". Lineage: Eukaryota; Viridiplantae; Streptophyta; Magnoliopsida; Malpighiales; Euphorbiaceae. The record is from RNAcentral.
GGGGGUUUGAGAUUGAUUUGAUUAACAAACUACUAAAAGCAAUUAAAAUAAGCGAAUAAUAAAAUAAAAGAGAAAUAAAUAAUAAGAAAGCUCUAGUUGAAGUAUUGGAUCCACUUUAGUUGUUGGGAUUGAUCACAGACACUUUGUUCUUUUGGGUUGAUUCAAUAGAUUAGUUAUGGAGAUGGAAGACGCUUCUCACCACCAUUAUCUCUCCUUAUGAUUAAACCAAUUAGGGAACGUCCUCUAAUUAAUUACUAAUUAACAAAUUGCCAAGGAACGUCCUUGGGUCUUAGGCAUCAAAACAAUUGUCAAUUGCAUUAAGAAAUAGAGAGAUCCAAUCCUAGCU